RNAcentral lists this ribosomal RNA (254 nucleotides) under uncultured bacterium. RNAcentral's name for it is "partial 16S ribosomal RNA". It matches the Rfam family "Bacterial small subunit ribosomal RNA", at positions 524 to 776 of the family's 1533-position model. The record is from RNAcentral.
UACGUAGGGGGCAAGCGUUGUCCGGAUUUAUUGGGCGUAAAGAGCGUGUAGGCGGCUUGGUAGGUCCGCUGUGAAAACUCGAGGCUCAACCUCGAGACGCCGGUGGAAACCAUCAGGCUAGAGUCCGGAAGAGGAGAGUGGAAUUCCUGGUGUAGCGGUGAAAUGCGCAGAUAUCAGGAAGAACACCCGUGGCUAAGGCGGCUCUCUAGUACGGUACUGACGCUGAGACGCGAAAGCGUGGGGGAGCGAACAGG